UACAGAGGUCCCAAGCGUUGUUCGGAUUCAUUGGGCGUAAAGGGUGCGUAGGCGGCGCGGUAAGUCGGAUGUGAAAGCCCUCGGCUCAACCGGGGAAGUGCAUUCGAAACUGCUGUUCUUGAGUACGGAAGAGGCGAGUGGAAUUCCUGGUGUAGCGGUGAAAUGCGCAGAUAUCAGGAGGAACACCAAUUGCGAAGGCAGCUCGCUGGGACGUUACUGACGCUGAGACGCGAAAGCGUGGGGAGCAAACAGG
This 253-nucleotide ribosomal RNA is filed under the name uncultured bacterium. RNAcentral describes it as "partial 16S ribosomal RNA". It matches the Rfam family "Bacterial small subunit ribosomal RNA", at positions 524 to 776 of the family's 1533-position model. The record is from RNAcentral.